This 916-nucleotide ribosomal RNA is filed under the name uncultured archaeon. RNAcentral describes it as "bacterial SSU rRNA". It matches the Rfam family "Archaeal small subunit ribosomal RNA", at positions 1 to 922 of the family's 1478-position model. The record is from RNAcentral.
UUUCCGGUUGAUCCUGCCGCCGGCCACCGCUAUCAAGUUCCGACUAAGCCAUGCGAGUCAAGGUAUCGUAAGAUGCCGGCAAACUGCUCAGUAACACGUGGAUAAUCUAACCUUGAGUAAGGGAUAACCUCGGGAAACUGAGGAUAAUACCUUAUAAUUGCUUAAAACUGGAAUGUUUAAGCAAUAAAAGUUCCGACGCUCAAGGAUGAGUCUGCGACCUAUCAGGUAGUAGGUGGUGUAAUGGACCACCUAGCCUCAGACGGGUACGGGCCCUGGGAGGGGUAGCCCGGAGAUGGACUCUGAGACAUCAGUCCAGGCCCUACGGGGCGCAGCAGGCGCGAACACUGUGCAAUGCGCGAAAGCGCGACACGGGGAGCUUGAGUGUCUUGGCAUAGCCAAGACUUUUCUCAUUCCUAAAAAGCAUGAGGAAUAAGUGCUGGGUAAGACGGGUGCCAGCCGCCGCGGUAACACCCGCAGCACAAGUGGUGGUCACUUUUAUUGAGCCUAAAGCGUUCGUAGCCGGUUUUGUAAAUCUUUAGAUAAAGCCUGAAGCUUAACUCCAGAAAGUCUGAAGAGACUGCAAGACUUGAGAUCGGGUGAGGUUAAACGUACUUUCAGGGUAGGGGUAAAAUCCUGUAAUCCCGGAAGGACGACCAGUGGCGAAAGCGUUUAACUAGAACGAAUCUGACGGUAAGGAACGAAGGCUAGGGUAGCAAACCGGAUUAGAUACCCGGGUAGUCCUAGCUGUAAACACUGCCCAUUUGAUGUUGCUUUUCCGUUGAGGGAAGGCAGUGUCGGAGCGAAGGUGUUAAAUGGGCCGCUUGGGAAGUAUGGUCGCAAGACUGAAGCUUAAAGGAAUUGGCGGGGGAGCACCGCAACGGGAGGAAUGUGCGGUUUAAUUGGAUUCAACGCCGGA